RNAcentral lists this ribosomal RNA (115 nucleotides) under Aspergillus flavus. Lineage: Eukaryota; Fungi; Ascomycota; Eurotiomycetes; Eurotiales; Aspergillaceae. RNAcentral also lists the same sequence under 1 other name. The record is from RNAcentral.
AUACGACCAUAGGGUGUGGAGAACAGGGCUUCCCGUCCGCUCAGCCGUACUUAAGCCACACGCCGGAAGGUUAGUAGUUGGGUGGGUGACCACCAGCGAAUCCCUUCUGUUGUAU